This 641-nucleotide ribosomal RNA is filed under the name uncultured Chryseobacterium sp. Its description in RNAcentral is "bacterial SSU rRNA". It matches the Rfam family "Bacterial small subunit ribosomal RNA", at positions 89 to 729 of the family's 1533-position model. Lineage: Bacteria; Pseudomonadati; Bacteroidota; Flavobacteriia; Flavobacteriales; Weeksellaceae. The record is from RNAcentral.
GAGAGAGCGGCGUACGGGUGCGUAACACGUGUGCAACCUACCUUUAUCAGGGGAAUAGCCUUUCGAAAGGAAGAUUAAUACUCCAUAAUAUAUUUGAUGGCAUCAUUAGAUAUUGAAAACUCCGGUGGAUAGAGAUGGGCACGCGCAAGAUUAGAUAGUUGGUGAGGUAACGGCUCACCAAGUCUGUGAUCUUUAGGGGUCCUGAGAGGGAGAUCCCCCACACUGGUACUGAGACACGGACCAGACUCCUACGGGAGGCAGCAGUGAGGAAUAUUGGACAAUGGGUGAGAGCCUGAUCCAGCCAUCCCGCGCGAAGGAUUAAGGUCCUACGGAUUGUAAACUUCUUUUGUACAGGAAUAAACCUAUUUACGUGUAGAUAGCUGAAGGUACUGUACGAAUAAGCACCGGCUAACUCCGUGCCAGCAGCCGCGGUAAUACGGAGGGUGCAAGCGUUAUCCGGAUUUAUUGGGUUUAAAGGGUCCGCAGGCGGACUGAUAAGUCAGUGGUGAAAUCUCAUAGCUUAACUAUGAAACUGCCAUUGAUACUGUUGGUCUUGAGUAAAUUUGAGGUAGCUGGAAUAAGUAGUGUAGCGGUGAAAUGCAUAGAUAUUACUUAGAACACCAAUUGCGAAGGCAGGUUAC